GUGCCUGUAGCUCAGUGGAUAGGGCGUGAAUUUCCUAAGUUGAAGGUCGCAAGUUCAACACCUACCUGGCGCG
This is a non-coding RNA of Nicotiana attenuata, 73 nucleotides long. Lineage: Eukaryota; Viridiplantae; Streptophyta; Magnoliopsida; Solanales; Solanaceae. The record is from Rfam.